Long non-coding RNA from Cyanistes caeruleus (blue tit), 1684 nucleotides. NCBI's taxonomy places the organism in Eukaryota, Metazoa, Chordata, Aves, Passeriformes, Paridae. The record is from Ensembl.
AUGUUGGUCUCAGGUGGGGCUGGAGGGUACUGGGCUGGUCUUGGGGUCUCUACAAGAACUAAGGAAUGGGCUAGGCUGGGGCAGAGGGAGAUCAAAAAAGGGAGUGAAAGCAGCUUAGGGAUAUCUAUGGGGAAAAGAGGGGGCAGUGGGAUCUACAGGGUUAUAGGAGGUUUCUUCAAAGACAGCAGUCCUGGGAUCCUCUUCGCAGGGUUCUUCAGAGAGCUGAUCAGGCCCUUAUUACAGCCAGAGGUGCUGCUCAAGCUGUCUGGGUGUUUAGUGCAGCCACUGUCCUUCAAAUGCUGUCCAGAAGUGCUCCUGUGGAGAGAGGAGGUGGCUGAGGCCCCCAGCUGCCGCUGGCACACAGAGACCCUCCUGCACAGCAGGGCCCAGAGCGGCCAAGGCUCCCCAGCACAGCUGCAGCUGCUGGCACAGCUUGGCCCAGCUGGAGAGCUGCCCCUCAAGGCCCCAGCGAGCAGGGGAUGGCUCUGGGCAGGGUCCCUGGCCAGGAGCAGGCCCCAGAGCGUGUCUGCCUUUCAAGGGCAAUCUCAUUCCCGCUCUUUCUCCUGCCCACCUUGCUUUGCCUCUGCCUGCUGCUCCUGGGGCUGCUCUUGGCCAGGCAGCCUCAGUGGCAGCCAGCAUUGGCUGCAGCCCAAGUGGGCUCCCCAGGACAAGGCCCCGCAGUGAAGAGGCCAAAGAAAGCCCCAGGCAGCAGCAGAACUCUCAGCAGGGUUAUUUGGAAACCACUGACUACCCACAAGUCCACAGCAGCCUCCCUGGAAAUGUUUCCUGUCUGCAAUAGGCUUUCAAAAGAAGCUGUUGGAGGGAAAGAUGAGCAAAACACUCACCGUUUUCUCUUCCAGACAUAGCAGAUUCCAAAGCAGCACAACAUGAAGAUAAUCUCCAAACAAAGCACGCCUGCUAUUAGCUCUAUCCAGCAGAACAUUCCCUGACAGAAAGCCCUUUCAAUGACCUUCUGGGAACCAGGAACUUGUGUUGUGCUGGUUGCAUCUAUGGAAGCAAUGGGCAGUGUGAGUCCAUGCUGUGCUGCACUGCUGAGCUGGCAGCAUGCUGGGUAUAUCCCGUACAUUCUCUGUUUCCUCCAGGGCUGGGGUCUGCAUGCACCUUGCUGCCCCUUGGCACAGGCUGUGCCACCCAACAGAGCCCAGAAGGCCGGGAGCAGAGCCCGGGGACAGCGCAGCCACUUGGGCAGUGGCUCCUUCCAGGGACUCAGGCCAAAGCCAUCCCUGAGCAGCCACAGCCACCCCUGACCCUCCCUGCUCUGUGACAGCUCCCCCAGCCCAAGGGGACAGAGCCAGGCCCUGUCAGGAGCCAGUGCAGGCCGUGCCCAGUUGGGAGACAGGGCUGGCUGUGGCCCUGGCUCAUGUCAUGGCUCCCACUCAGGGCUGCUCCUGUGCCUUGGGCCUCUGGGCACUCAGGACCAGCUCUGGGAACAGCUGCAGAGGCAGUGAUGUUGUUCCUCAAGUCCCGUUUCCCAAGGGGUGGGAAUGAUCUCCAGAGGCCUCGGAGCUGAGGCACCUCCAGCUUUGGCUGCUGCUGGGCUGUGCAAGGGCCGGCCCUGUGGGGAGAGCUGCUGGCACACAGCCCCGCCGAGGGCUGAGCCCAGCACAGCAAUUACCUCCUGUGUCUGGACCCGUGCCUGGCAUCGCCUUCUUUCCUGUGGCAG